GUCAUGGGGACAGUAUGAAUCCUCAACAUGUGAUGAAAAUGACACUUCACCUUUGUGGUUUUUGUUCCCUGAAACCUUAAGGCCAAGCUGAUCUGGAGAAAAAAUAUUAAACCAAUCCCAAACGAGGGACAUCUUACAAAAAACCUGGCCAGUACUUCUCAAAACUUUAAGGUCAUCGAAAAGAUGCAAAAUCUAAAAGACUUUUUCACUCUUAGCAGCGUGGCCCUGGUUUCUGGCUUGAAACUCGGAUAUGGAAAUAGUCUAGAAAGGUUUGUCAACAGGUACCUUUGCGGGAAGAGUGCUUUGAAGGACUGAAUACAAAGGGCAAGUCUUCUUCCUGUCUGAUGACAAUGAAUUGAUAAUGAAGGAGCUUCAGGGAGAUGUGUACUUUGCCCAAGGUCCUCCAGAAGAAUUCAACUUGUAGUGUGGGAUCAUUGUGAGGAAUCAGAAAAGAACUUAUGGCACGGUUCGGGCUUGAACGGGACAUGAAAACAGUCAAGCAGGGUUUGGAUUAGCGUGUGCUCGGUGUCCUAGCUCCAUUUUACAGCCGAGGAAACGAGGGCUUAGCCCGGGAGAAACGCCCUGGCUUGAGAGAGCCACGAAGCCACACUCUAACUCCAAGCCAACUGUCCCCAUCUUUUCUGCUUUCCAGUCUUGGUCCCUCUGCCUGGAAUGACUUCCUCUGACACUCUCCUGUCUUAUUUCUUUACCUCCACCCUAAGUUGUUCACACCCACAUUCCCCAUUUAAAAUUCCUUGCACCCUCAUUUCUAUUUCCAUCGCACUUGCUUUCACACCCCCUGCCCCUACUGACGCCACUCUGUCUUAAUUACCUAUUUCUCUGACUUACGCUUGUUAACUUUCUGGACGUCAAAAUGAUGACUUCGCCACCCCUGUGACGUCAACCCCUGCCACAGAAAGUGCUCCAAGAAAACCUGUGACGUUGAACGACCUGACAGCAGGAAGGGACUGACUGAUUUUCAAAGAGGAAGGCAGAUGUUGAAACCUCUGGAACCCCGGGCGUGUGGGAGUAUGUUCCACGGCUCAGGAACAUACUCGCCAGAUGCCGUCCGCCCGACAUGGCCUCUGCUUCUCAGGACAUCUUGUCCAACGUUACGGUCAGAAAAACUCUGCUGGCAAACUGGGGGUCAGAACCCUUCCUCCAGCGGGCCCCGCAGCCUACAGGAAGGCCCAGAACGUUUAUCGGGCCUUAGGCUGCACCUGACACGUACGUGGUCGGCCACGCCGUAACCAGGAGAACCGCGCGUGGCUGCUCUUCUCUGCCCGUCCCUGGCUGGCUGCAGAGUUACAAGCUCUUGUGGGGAAGUUCUCACACUACUUGCAACAUUAUUUGCCUUGCUUGUUGUCUUCCCAAAGCCCAUUAAAAGGAUCUGAAAAGAAACCACCCAUUUUCUCCUUUUGUUUCCCCUGAAUAAGCUCCAUUAUGGCCACGCACUAAUACACCAUCAGGGACCCCUGGAAGAAAAAGCCAGUGAGUGGAUGCUGACAACGGAGGGAGCAGCUCAGCGGGAGAAAGGUGGUGGAGCUCAUGGCAACGAAAGCAGAGAGACUCAUUUCCCAGCAAAGUCCCCUAGGAUCCUCUGCCCGGGAAGUGGGGUACAUGUGUCACGUACCAAUGCCCGGGUUUUUAUUACACCAGAAGGAAGGAAGGGAAGGUGACUUCUGUUCUGACAGUUUGGUGGUAGAAUGUCCUGAGAAGGCAAGGGCCUUCUACUGAAAUUUAAUCCCAAGAAAGUUUUUCUUUUUUUUUUUUAAUUGAAAAUGUCUAUAAUUUGGGCCAGUAGGAAAAUAAAUAUGCUGUCAAUUU
This is a long non-coding RNA of Felis catus (domestic cat), 1827 nucleotides long. RefSeq lists it as uncharacterized. The transcript has 3 exons. Lineage: Eukaryota; Metazoa; Chordata; Mammalia; Carnivora; Felidae. The record is from RefSeq and is a predicted model, not a curated record.